Molecule: transfer RNA, 72 nt
Filed under: Cricetulus griseus (Chinese hamster)
Lineage: Eukaryota; Metazoa; Chordata; Mammalia; Rodentia; Cricetidae
Rfam family: tRNA
About the family: Transfer RNA (tRNA) molecules are approximately 80 nucleotides in length. Their secondary structure includes four short double-helical elements and three loops (D, anti-codon, and T loops).
Source: Rfam by way of RNAcentral
GGUGAUGAAGCUCAGUUGGUAGAGUGUUUGCUUAGCAUGCAUGAAGGCCUGAGUUCUAAACCCGUAUCACCA